This 467-nucleotide ribosomal RNA is filed under the name uncultured bacterium. RNAcentral describes it as "partial 16S ribosomal RNA". It matches the Rfam family "Bacterial small subunit ribosomal RNA", at positions 28 to 506 of the family's 1533-position model. The record is from RNAcentral.
GACGAACGCUGGCGGCGUGCUUAACACAUGCAAGUCGAACGGAAAGGCCCUGCUUUUGUGGGGUGCUCGAGUGGCGAACGGGUGAGUAACACGUGAGUAACCUGCCCUUGACUUUGGGAUAACUUCAGGAAACUGGGGCUAAUACCGGAUAGGAGCUCCUGCUGCAUGGUGGGGGUUGGAAAGUUUCGGCGGUUGGGGAUGGACUCGCGGCUUAUCAGCUUGUUGGUGGGGUAGUGGCUUACCAAGGCUUUGACGGGUAGCCGGCCUGAGAGGGUGACCGGCCACAUUGGGACUGAGAUACGGCCCAGACUCCUACGGGAGGCAGCAGUGGGGAAUAUUGUACAAUGGGCGGAAGCCUGAUGCAGCAACGCCGCGUGCGGGAUGACGGCCUUCGGGUUGUAAACCGCUUUCGCCUGUGACGAAGCGUGAGUGACGGUAAUGGGGAAAGAAACACCGGCUAACUACGU